CCGAAGGUGGGGCAAGUGAUUGGGGUGAAGUCGUAACAAGGUAGCCGUACCGGAAGGUGCGGCUGGAUCACCUCCUUUCUAAGGA
This 85-nucleotide ribosomal RNA is filed under the name Geobacillus thermopakistaniensis. RNAcentral describes it as "Geobacillus sp. MAS1 partial 16S ribosomal RNA". It matches the Rfam family "Bacterial small subunit ribosomal RNA", at positions 1456 to 1533 of the family's 1533-position model. The record is from RNAcentral. Lineage: Bacteria; Bacillati; Bacillota; Bacilli; Caryophanales; Anoxybacillaceae.